This 253-nucleotide ribosomal RNA is filed under the name uncultured bacterium. RNAcentral's name for it is "partial 16S ribosomal RNA". It matches the Rfam family "Bacterial small subunit ribosomal RNA", at positions 524 to 776 of the family's 1533-position model. The record is from RNAcentral.
UACAGAGGGUGCGAGCGUUAAUCGGAAUUACUGGGCGUAAAGCGCGCGUAGGCGGCUUUGCAAGUCGGGUGUGAAAUCCCCAGGCUUAACCUGGGAACUGCAUUCGAGACUGCAUUGCUAGAGUAUGGGAGAGGGAAGUGGAAUUUCCGGUGUAGCGGUGAAAUGCGUAGAUAUCGGAAGGAACAUCAGUGGCGAAGGCGGGUCUCUGGACAGUUCCUGACGCUGAGGCACGAAGGCCAGGGGAGCAAACGGG